GCCAUCAGUCAUCUGGUGACUACACAGCACAGAUUGGAGUAUUUACAGCAGAGCAGCCAAGAAGAUUCAGCACCGAAGAAGAGGGAGUAUCUGAGAUGAGAUUGCUUAGAAAAAUGCAUUUCUUACCUAAGCCUAGAAUGAGCAAGUUGGUGGUAGGACAGACCGAUGCUACCGGUAAAAUGAACUCUCUACUUAGUUUUUGGGUCUUUGGGGUUGGUUUGGUAUUAGUAUACGCGCCAGCUGCAUAGGAGCUGGUUCAGCAUAUAGGAUAACGUUGUGAUCUUUCCAAAAUAUAAGUUAUUCUAAACCACUAAGUCAUUUGCUUACCCUGCCCCUCACACCUCCUUCCACUAGCAAUCAUGUUCAGCAUGAUGUUUCAUAGGCAUUAAAUGCUCCAAGUACGGCAGCUAGAAAGAGAUAGAGUAUUGCAGUGUACCAAACUUCUGCCCAGAGCAGCCAUUUGUUACACUUAAAAACACAUCUACGAGUUAAAUAGGAAGGAUCCCUGCAAUACAGAAUUUGAGCACUGUUAAUCAUUUAUUCUUGCCAUCCCUUUCCCUAAAUAUCAAAAGGUUGAUACAUACAGUGCUCCUUUAUCUUCUCCCCAUCGCCUGCCCCAGCAGUCCUUAAGAUAAACCAAAGCGAGUUUGGGAACUUGCAGUCCCACUUCUGUUAAAAAAAAAAAGUUGUGCAAGAAAGCAGGGAACGUUCAGUGAAUCCAGAUCUAUUCUGUAGUUAUAAAAUUUCCAAUGGCAAGGUGGUAAGGGCAAAUAACCCAGUGAUCAUAUGGCUUAAGUUCAAUGCAAAGCGCACUAGGAGGUCCACGUGCAGGGCGAGAAGAGUCCAAGAAAGAUGUAAUGAAGUGUCCUGAAGAUCAGUGUUUAUGCAUAGAACUCUUCUUGUUUGUGUGGUUUUUGGUAUCCUCCAUUAGACUGUUUCGGUUCAUCCAGUGAAUAGCUUCCUUCGUCUUUUUUCUUCAUUCUGUACAGCAUAAAUGCAACUAGAAACACUGCAAACACCAAGCCUACCAGUCCUCCAGCAAUAACACCUCCAAGAACUUCUUUUCUGUCCAUAAUUCCCGAGGCUCCCGCUGCUUUGGCAUUCCUCCCAGAGUCAGCCGGCACUUCAGAGUUCUGGGUAGGGACCAAAUCCUCAUCUUUAACCAAGAUGAAGUCUCCCGGGUCUCCUGAGCCAUCUUCAGAAACCUCCUCAUGUGUAGGAGCUACGUCGCCUGGAGCUGUCGUGGGAGCAGCAGCGAUGUCCCCCUCCGGAUGGGUGGUGGAGUUGGUCUCAGGCACACCUUUAGUGUCUGGCAUCUCAGAGCCAGGGGUUUUAGGUUCGAGCUCAUGGACUGUGCCUGAGGCUUCUGAAGGAACUACAUGAAGCACCGAAGGGAAGUGAGUAGUGGGACUUCUUGCUGUUGUUACAACUGCAUCGUCUGUUGGUUUCUCAUCAGGUGAGCCCAACAAGGGUGUUUCAUCCUUCACAGCUACAACUGGCUCCUCUGUCACUACACGACUAGUUGCAGGUGGAGUUGUUACUUUCUUUUCAGUUCGGCUCUCAAUCCUAGGAAACAGCUGUUCAUUGAAAACCACUGCUGUUGCCAGUAACGAGGAAUUGGUCGGCUCUGCUGGCAUUCUCCAGGUGAGAGACUGAUCAGGCAGGGGACCUGCACCUGAACCUGAGAAUCCAUCAUCAUCAUCACCAGAAGAAUCGAGAUCUUCAGGAGGAAGGUUCAGAUUUGUAGUUUGCGGGACGGCAGCGUGGAAGCAGAGCGCUGCCAGCAGCACGGCCACAGCGCGCAGCAUCGUCCUCCUCCUCGGCGGGCCUCGGGAGCGCUCAGCCUGCCCUCGUCUCGCCGCUCCUGUCCCGCUCCUCGGAGUGCGCUUUUAUUAAGCAACCGCCGCCUUUCCUCCGGGAGUUUUCAAUACACAAACUUAUAUUCUCAGUCGCUCUUAUCUUCCCCUUCGCGCGCGCUCUGCCAAACCAGCCUCCCAGCAGCGCUCUGCGACCGCGAGGAGUUGAACUCUGUCUUUUAAUGAACCCACGGCAACAACC
RNAcentral lists this long non-coding RNA (2058 nucleotides) under Gallus gallus (chicken). The record is from RNAcentral. Lineage: Eukaryota; Metazoa; Chordata; Aves; Galliformes; Phasianidae.